This 71-nucleotide transfer RNA is filed under the name Trichechus manatus latirostris (Florida manatee). RNAcentral describes it as "tRNA-Gly (TCC) (tRNA-Gly-TCC-18-1)". It matches the Rfam family "tRNA". From Rfam's summary of the family: Transfer RNA (tRNA) molecules are approximately 80 nucleotides in length. The record is from Rfam by way of RNAcentral. Lineage: Eukaryota; Metazoa; Chordata; Mammalia; Sirenia; Trichechidae.
GCAGUGGUGGUUCAGGGGUAGAAUUCUCGCCUUCCAUGCGGGAGACCUGGGUUCGAUUCCCAGCCAGUGCA